CCUACGGGAGGCAGCAGUCGAGAAUCAUUCACAAUGGGGGAAACCCUGAUGGUGCGACGCCGCGUGGGGGAAUGAAGGUCUUCGGAUUGUAAACCCCUGUCAUGUGGGAGCAAAUUAAGAAGAUAGUACCACAAGAGGAAGAGACGGCUAAAUCUGUGCCAGCAGCCGAGGUAAUACAGAGGGCUCAAGCGUUGUUCGGAAUCACUGGGGGGAAAGCGUGCGUAGGCUGCUGCGUAAGGCGUGUGUGAAAGGCGCGGGCUCAACCCGCGUACGGCACAUGAUACUGCGAGACUAGAGUGAUGGAGGGGGAACCGGAAUUCUCGGUGUAGCAGUGAAAUGCGUAGAUA
RNAcentral lists this ribosomal RNA (347 nucleotides) under uncultured bacterium. Its description in RNAcentral is "partial 16S ribosomal RNA". It matches the Rfam family "Bacterial small subunit ribosomal RNA", at positions 338 to 696 of the family's 1533-position model. The record is from RNAcentral.